UCCGUAGGCGGGCUAAUAAGUCAGGGGUGAAAUCCCACAGCUCAACUGUGGAACUGCCUUUGAUACUGUUAGUCUUGAGUUAUAUGGAAGUAGAUAGAAUGUGUAGUGUAGCGGUGAAAUGCUUAGAGAUUACACAGAAUACCGAUUGCGAAGGCAGUCUACUAACUAUAUACUGACGCUAAUGGACGAAAGCGUGGGGAGCGAACAGGAUUAGAUACCCUGGUAGUCC
Molecule: ribosomal RNA, 229 nt
Filed under: uncultured bacterium
Lineage: Bacteria
Description: partial 16S ribosomal RNA
Rfam family: Bacterial small subunit ribosomal RNA
Source: RNAcentral